GACGAACCGAGCGAACGUUGUUCGGAAUCACUGGGCUUAAAGGGCGCGUAGGCGGGUACUCAAGUCUGUGGUGAAAUCCUCCGGCUCAACCGUGGAACUGCCUCAGAUACUGUCGGCCUCGAGGGAGGUAGGGGCGUGCGGAACUGUAGGUGGAGCGGUGAAAUGCGUUGAUAUCUACAGGAACUCCGGUGGCGAAAGCGGCGCGCUGGACCUCUUCUGACGCUGAGGCGCGAAAGCUAGGGGAGCAAACGGG
RNAcentral lists this ribosomal RNA (253 nucleotides) under uncultured bacterium. Its description in RNAcentral is "partial 16S ribosomal RNA". It matches the Rfam family "Bacterial small subunit ribosomal RNA", at positions 524 to 776 of the family's 1533-position model. The record is from RNAcentral.